UACGAAGGGGGCUAGCGUUGUUCGGAAUUACUGGGCGUAAAGCGUGCGCAGGCGGCCAUUUAAGUCAGGGGUGAAAGCCUGGGGCUCAACCCCAGAACUGCCCUUGAGACUGGAUGGCUGGAGUGCGGGAGAGGUGAGUGGAAUUCCCAGUGUAGAGGUGAAAUUCGUAGAUAUUGGGAAGAACACCCGUGGCGAAGGCGGCUCACUGGCCCGUAACUGACGCUCAGGCACGAUAGCGUGGGGAGCAAACAGG
RNAcentral lists this ribosomal RNA (253 nucleotides) under uncultured bacterium. Its description in RNAcentral is "partial 16S ribosomal RNA". It matches the Rfam family "Bacterial small subunit ribosomal RNA", at positions 524 to 776 of the family's 1533-position model. The record is from RNAcentral.